UACGGAGGAUCCGAGCGUUAUCCGGAUUUAUUGGGUUUAAAGGGUGCGCAGGCGGGAGAUUAAGUCGGCGGUGAAAUUUUGCAGCUCAACUGUAAAAGUGCCUUCGAAACUGGUUUCCUUGAGUGUAGCUGAAGUAGGCGGAAUUUGUGGUGUAGCGGUGAAAUGCAUAGAUAUCACGAGGAACUCCGAUUGCGCAGGCAGCUUACUAAACUACUACUGACGCUCAUGCACGAAGGCGUGUGGAUCAAACAGGAUUAGAUA
Molecule: ribosomal RNA, 261 nt
Filed under: uncultured prokaryote
Description: partial 16S ribosomal RNA
Rfam family: Bacterial small subunit ribosomal RNA
Source: RNAcentral